AUGCCGAAGGCUGAUGGGGAUGCCACGCUCCUGAUCCAGUCCCUGAACAAGGCCUAUGCCGCCACGCCCACGAAUCUCAAGAUCAUUGACCUGUAUGUGGUUUUCGCUGUGGUGACUGCCCUUGUUCAGGUUGGUUACAUGGGAAUAGUUGGAUCACUUCCCUUCAACUCGUUCCUAUCUGGUGUCCUGUCAUGCAUAGGAACUGCAGUGCUUGCUGCGUGCCUCCGUAUUCAAGUCAACAAGGACAACAAGGAAUUCAAGGAUCUUCCUCCAGAAAGGGCCUUUGCAGAUUUCGUCCUGUGCAAUCUGGUGCUCCACCUGGUUAUUCAUUCGACCAGCGUGCUUGAGUUGUACCAAACACCGGGAAGGGAUACAAUUCCGGAUUUCAGCCAUCUAAUCCAAGGAACCUUAACCUACGGCAACAACGGAAAGGAGGUGAAGAAAAACUAA
RNAcentral lists this ribosomal RNA (450 nucleotides) under Triticum aestivum (bread wheat). RNAcentral's name for it is "partial small subunit ribosomal RNA". The record is from RNAcentral. Lineage: Eukaryota; Viridiplantae; Streptophyta; Magnoliopsida; Poales; Poaceae.